GAUGAACGCUAGCUACAGGCUUAACACAUGCAAGUCGAGGGGAAACGAUAGAGAAAGCUUGCUUUUUCUAGGCGUCGACCGGCGCACGGGUGAGUAACGCGUAUCCAACCUGCCCACCACUUGGGGAUAACCUUGCGAAAGUAAGACUAAUACCCAAUGACGUCUCUAGAAGACAUCUGAAAGGGAUUAAAGAUUUAUCGGUGAUGGAUGGGGAUGCGUCUGAUUAGCUUGUUGGCGGGGUAACGGCCCACCAAGGCAACGAUCAGUAGGGGUUCUGAGAGGAAGGUCCCCCACAUUGGAACUGAGACACGGUCCAAACUCCUACGGGAGGCAGCAGUGAGGAAUAUUGGUCAAUGGGCGGAAGCCUGAACCAGCCAAGUAGCGUGCAGGACGACGGCCCUAUGGGUUGUAAACUGCUUUCAGUCGGGAAUAAUUCGUCGGUCGUGACCGACGUUGCAGGUACCGUCAUAAGAAGGACCGGCUAAUCCGUG
Molecule: ribosomal RNA, 491 nt
Filed under: uncultured bacterium
Lineage: Bacteria
Description: bacterial SSU rRNA
Rfam family: Bacterial small subunit ribosomal RNA
Source: RNAcentral